This 1276-nucleotide ribosomal RNA is filed under the name Termitomyces sp. RNAcentral describes it as "partial large subunit ribosomal RNA". It matches the Rfam family "Eukaryotic large subunit ribosomal RNA", at positions 125 to 1401 of the family's 3401-position model. Lineage: Eukaryota; Fungi; Basidiomycota; Agaricomycetes; Agaricales; Lyophyllaceae. The record is from RNAcentral.
CUAGCUUCGCUGCCCGAGUUGUAAUCUAGAGAAGCAUUAUCAGCGCUCGCGGCGUGUACAAGUGUCCUGGAAUGGACCAUCAUAGAGGGUGACAAUCCCGUCUUUGACAUGGCUGCCUUUAGUGCUAUUGAUGUGCUCUCAACGAGUCGAGUUGUUUGGGAAUGCAGCUCUAAAUGGGUGGUAAGUUCCAUCUAAAGCUAAAUAUUGGCGAGAGACCGAUAGCGAACAAGUACCGUGAGGGAAAGAUGAAAAGAACUUUGGAAAGAGAGUUAAACAGUACGUGAAAUUGCUGAAAGGGAAACGCUUGAAGUCGGUCGCGUUGGCUGGGUAAUCGAGAAAUCAACCUUGCUUUCUAAAAGCUCGGCUUAUUUCCCAGUUGACGGGCCAGCAUCAGUUUUGACCGGUGGAUAAAGGUCAAGGGAAUGUGGCACCUCUGGGUGUGUUAUAGCCCUCGGUCAUAUACAUCGGUUGGGACUGAGGAACUCAGCACUUUGUUGCUUAGGAUGCUGGCAUAAAGGCUUUAAGCGACCCGUCUUGAAACACGGACCAAGGAGUCUAACAUGCCCGCGAGUGUUUGGGUGGAAAACCCGAGCGCGCAAUGAAAGUGAAAGUUGAGAUCCCUGUCAUGGGGAGCAUCAAUGCCUGGACCAGAGCUUUUGUGAUGGAUCCACGGUAGAGCGUGUAUGUUGGGACCCGAAAGAUGGUGAACUAUGCCUGAAUAGGGUGAAGCCAGAGGAAACUCUGGUGGAGGCUUGUAGCGAUUCUGACGUGCAAAUCGAUCGUCAAAUUUGGGUAUAGGGGCGAAAGACUAAUCGAACCAUCUAGUAGCUGGUUCCUGCCGAAGUUUCCCUCAGGAUAGCAGAAACUCAUUAUCAGAUUUAUGUGGUAAAGCGAAUGAUUAGAGGCCUUGGGGUUGUAACAACCUUAACCUAUUCUCAAACUUUAAAUAUGUAAGAACGAGCAGUCUCUUAGUUGGACCGCUUGGCGAUUGAGAGUUUCUAGUGGGCCAUUUUUGGUAAGCAGAACUGGCGAUGCGGGAUGAACCGAACGCGAGGUUAAGGUGCCGGAAUUCACGCUCAUCAGACACCACAAAAGGUGUUAGUUCAUCUAGACAGCAGGACGGUGGCCAUGGAAGUCGGAAUCCGCUAAGGAGUGUGUAACAACUCACCUGCCGAAUGAACUAGCCCUGAAAAUGGAUGGCGCUUAAGCGUGAUACCCAUACCUCGCCGUCAGUGUUUUAGUGACGCUCUGACGAGUAGGCAGGCGUGGAGGUCAG